RNAcentral lists this ribosomal RNA (446 nucleotides) under uncultured bacterium. Its description in RNAcentral is "partial 16S ribosomal RNA". It matches the Rfam family "Bacterial small subunit ribosomal RNA", at positions 338 to 795 of the family's 1533-position model. The record is from RNAcentral.
CCUACGGGUGGCAGCAGUAGGGAAUUUUCGGCAAUGGGGGCAACCCUGACCGAGCAACGCCGCGUGAACGAAGAAGUUAUUCUUAAUGUAAAGUUCUUUUAAUAGGGAAGAAAGCGAAAUUUGACGGUACCUGCUGAAUAAGCCCCGGCUAACUACGUGCCAUCAGCCGCGGUAAUACGUAGGGGUCGAGCGUUAUCUGGAAUUAUUGGGCGAAAGGGGUGCGUAGAUGGCAUAGUAGGUCUUUGGUAAAAAUGCUGGGCUAAACCCAGUAGGGCAAAAGAUACUGCAAAGCUAGAGUAUAACAGAGGCAAGUGGAACUACAUGUGUAGCGGUAAAAUGCGUAGAUAUAUGUAAGAACACCAGUGGCGAAGGCGGCUUGCUGGGUCGAUACUGACAUUGAGGCACGAAAGCGUGGGGAGCAAACAGGAUUAGAUACCCCUGUAGUC